UGUGCCGCUCCACCCCAACCCCGCCUUGGGAGGCGAUAAUGAUGCUGCCUCCCCUCAUUGCGGCUUCGAAUCCACUCGCGUCACCGUUGUUGUUCCUCCCGUGCAUCGUGUAAGAGCUUCUAAGCGCGGUAAAGCUCUGAAUCUGAUAAACAGUCGUUCUUCUACAUUCCUAUUCUGCUCGUGUCCUCACCUCGAAACCCCCAGAUCCCCUUUUCAAGCUAGCUCCAAGUUGACUGAACGUGGCUAGCAGGCGGAGCAGUAUGACUUCGCACAAUUCUAGAUCGAAGCAGAGAGUCCCUGCCUUCAAUCGCCAUCAGUAAAGGCCUAAGACUGUCUCCAAUGACCUCCCACUCCAACCAACUGCCUCGGCGCUGCGACGGCUCCGCGCGCGCGAAGGAGGCAUGGCCGUUGCCAUGGGCCCAUGCGCGCCGGUAGGGGGCGUCCGUACGCCCUCCACCUGUGGGGGACGCAGACCCCGACCUCCAAUUUGGAGUGCGCGGUGGGGGGCGCUGUUGGAGCGCGUAGCGAACGGAUUCGCCCCCUAUGUCAAGGUGGGGGGGGGGAUACCGUGCCCCGUUGGGGUCAGUCUAAAUCCCUCGUAGAUGCGACCAAGUUUCGGUGAGCUGCCGCACAUAGCUGCAUCCAGCCAUCAACUUUUGGCGUUCGUGAUUCCCUAUAGAUGCCAUGGAAAAACAAUUUCUUUAUUCAGAUCACUAGGCCUUCAGCGUUCUUUCACUCUUGCAAAUGCAUCAUCUAGUUUAAUACUAUGUUUUUUCCGGACUACAUGAAAAUCGAGGUUUUCCUAUGGUAAAUUUGUCCAUUAAAUCACUUAGGCUUUGUAGAUCCUUGAACUAAUCUGGUUCUUCAGAUGUAGAAUGAAGGAUUAAUGGAACAGAUAACCUUCAUGUACCAUGCUGCACAGAUUUUAGUUGCCAUCUUGCCAUCUGUGCGCCGUUCUGAAUGGGCAUUCCUAGACCAGCGGAGACAAAGAUUCUAAGUUUUCAGGUGAUGAGGCCUUUCUGUCGAGUUCUGUGCAAGAUGAGCUCACCUACGAGCAGCCAAUGGGGGAAUUGUGCAUUGAUCUGAGUUCAAAACCAGCUGCCACUGAAUGAGAGAAGCUCUAAAUGAUUAUCUCAAAUUCCGGAUGUAAAUGUAUAUUGUUAAUGUUUGUAUUCGGCUAGAAAAAGCUAAUGUCCAUUAGUAUGCGAUGUUUCAAAAUUAUUGUACAAUAUACUUGAACCUCGUUGUUCCUAUUUGUAUCUCGAAAAUUUUAAUGUAUUAUGGUAAUCCACCAUAUCUAUAUUGUAAACUCUGGAUUAGUGCGUCCAGUAGACAAAAACAAAGUUAUGACUUAUGUGGAUCACUAUGUUAUUGGCAAGCUAUAGCUCCCUUUCUUAUAGCCA
Long non-coding RNA from Panicum virgatum (switchgrass), 1403 nucleotides. RefSeq lists it as uncharacterized. Lineage: Eukaryota; Viridiplantae; Streptophyta; Magnoliopsida; Poales; Poaceae. The transcript has 5 exons. The record is from RefSeq and is a predicted model, not a curated record.